RNAcentral lists this long non-coding RNA (520 nucleotides) under Phasianus colchicus (ring-necked pheasant). Its description in RNAcentral is "lncRNA (ENSPCLG00000008212.1)". The record is from RNAcentral. Lineage: Eukaryota; Metazoa; Chordata; Aves; Galliformes; Phasianidae.
UUGCAGAGAGUGGACCCUCUGGGCUACAUGAUACUAGAAAGAGGGCUCAGUCUCAGACUUGCCUGCAGAUUGGGUGCAAGGGCUGACUCCAGGCACCAUCAUUGGGUCACCUCUUGAUGUUGGUAUCCAUGUCAUACACAAUUUCUUCAGUUUUUGUCAGCCAAGAAGUAGAAGUAGAAUUGCAUUUUCCCUGACAUAUGAUGUGUAUUUCAUGAUCUCAAUAUUUUGGUUUCCCAUGGCCUUUGACAAUAAAGAUUCUAAAUUUGCUGCCAAGAUUUGGAAUCCCAGAAUCACAAAAUCGUAGGGGUUGGAACAGACCUCUAGAGAUCAUCAAGUCCAAAACUCUGCUAGGCUUCAUAUGUUUCUUUUAAACUUUUCCACAGCAGAAACAGAACCUACCACGGUGUAUUUUUUGAGUUUGACCUACGUAAUUCUUCUAAUGACUUCUCCAGUGCUUCAGCCAGGAGAUGUCUUUCCUUCCUGGAAAAUGUUCCCAUCGAUUUUGAAACAGAUGAAGUAA